AUGUCGGCAAUUUUCACCAGAGUUUGUGUCUCUACUUUGAAGUAGUCGGCGACUUCUCUCUGUAUUUCGCUAGUGAUUCUUGCAUUGUCGCUGAUUAGCUUUUGUAUGUACACCGAUAGACGCGGAAUUUGCAUUCGUGUGCCACAGUGGAAGCAAUGAUGUUCUCUUAAGCUUCAGCCUUCAUGUGGAAUUCUUUUUUAUUUUUUCUGUUUAGGUUAUAUGCGAGAUUCUAAAUGUGACUGUAUAUGGGUUUGUUCAGGCUGUGGUGAUGAAAAAGUUUUCCUAUGAGUUUGAAUUUGACUAUGAUGAUGGGGAUAUUGAUUGUUAUAAACCUUCUAGAAGGGGAGGUUGAGGAUGGUUCCAAGAGGUUAGAGCAGUUGUAGUGUUAUAACUCCACUACCGCCAUAAAAGUAGAAGAGAAAUAGCAAGAACGAGAGCCAACUCUUCAAGACUUAGCGACUUUAAGCAUGUCAAUCGAAAUUGCAAAAAAACAAUCAUUCUGGCUCAGUUACAACCAUUGUUAUGCGCAAUUUGGGCAAUUGCUUUGGCAAAGAGGAGAUAAUGGAAAACUCUCCAACAGAAGAUGAGUCAUCCACUACCCUGAUGAGUGUGGAGGAAAAAUUUAGGAUUGUGAAGAGUGUUGGUGAAGAGUGUAAGUAGGAAGAUGAACUCUUGAAUCUUGUAAUCAAGAAGCCCCAACCCACUUGCUAUGAAGCCUUCAAACAUUCUUGCAGAAUGCAUAUAGCACGUGUAGUGAUGGAUCUUCCUCCUUAUAAAAUUAACCCUAAGAGAAUGAAAGGUUUGCAUCAAUCUGUUGAAAUGGGAGAGUAGUUUAGGCGAUUAUUAGCAAAACCUCAACAAGAAUUUCCAGAAAGUGUGAUGGAAAUUAGAGAAAAGGAUAAUUUAAUGUGGUGGAACUAACUCGCAAGUCUUUAUUCCCUGCAACUGCGUAUGAUCUUUGUAUCAAGCUGAAGGAAAAAGAAAUUCUUGCAAAACUGACUCAUAAUGCUAAUAUUGGGUUGAACUCCUCUUUCCAUCAGGUCCUGCUCAAGCUCAAAAUUUAAGGGAUUCACUUGCAAAAGCAAAAUCUGAUAUUGUAGUGAAGGUGUUCUUUUUAUCCUGCAUUUUUUGUGCUAUAGUAAUAGUACUACUUAAAGAACAAAUCAAUAGGUUGACACCAACUGGAU
RNAcentral lists this long non-coding RNA (1187 nucleotides) under Helianthus annuus (common sunflower). The record is from RNAcentral. Lineage: Eukaryota; Viridiplantae; Streptophyta; Magnoliopsida; Asterales; Asteraceae.